This 89-nucleotide transfer RNA is filed under the name Elusimicrobia bacterium HGW-Elusimicrobia-1. Its description in RNAcentral is "tRNA-Ser". It matches the Rfam family "tRNA". Rfam says of the family: Transfer RNA (tRNA) molecules are approximately 80 nucleotides in length. The record is from RNAcentral. Lineage: Bacteria; Pseudomonadati; Elusimicrobiota.
GGAGAGGUCGCCUAGUGGUUUAGGGCGGCGGUUUGCUAAACCGCUGUCCCGCUAAAGCGGGACCGGGGGUUCGAAUCCCCCCCUCUCCG